GAUGAACGCUGGCGGCGUGCCUAAUACAUGCAAGUCGAGCGAACGGACGAGAAGCUUGCUUCUCUGAUGUUAGCGGCGGACGGGUGAGUAACACGUGGAUAACCUACCUAUAAGACUGGGAUAACUUCGGGAAACCGGAGCUAAUACCGGAUGAUAUUUUGAACCGCAUGGUUCAAAAGUGAAAGACGGUCUUGCUGUCACUUAUAGAUGGAUCCGCGCUGCAUUAGCUAGUUGGUAAGGUAACGGCUUACCAAGGCAACGAUGCAUAGCCGACCUGAGAGGGUGAUCGGCCACAAUGGAACUGAGACACGGUCCAGACUCCUAAGGGAGGCAGCAGUAGGGAAUCUUCCGCAAUGGGCGAAAGCCUGACGGAGCAACGCCGCGUGAGUGAUGAAGGUCUUCGGAUCGUAAAACUCUGUUAUUAGGGAAGAACAUAUGUGUAAGUAACUGUGCACAUCUUGACGGUACCUAAUCAGAAAGCCACGGCUAACUACGUG
This 497-nucleotide ribosomal RNA is filed under the name uncultured bacterium. Its description in RNAcentral is "partial 16S ribosomal RNA". It matches the Rfam family "Bacterial small subunit ribosomal RNA", at positions 28 to 507 of the family's 1533-position model. The record is from RNAcentral.